This is a long non-coding RNA of Bradysia coprophila, 186 nucleotides long. Lineage: Eukaryota; Metazoa; Arthropoda; Insecta; Diptera; Sciaridae. The record is from RefSeq and is a predicted model, not a curated record.
UGAUUUAUUUUUCAAUAUAUUUUGUUAUAGUAAUAAUAACGUUAUAAUGAUAACAGCAGGCAACAGAGGUCAUGUACACGGAUGGUGACAUAGUGCGUUGGAUAGGUCUUGGUGCCCUGAAUAUGGAACACACCUCCAUUCGUCCCAGUGACGUCUGUGUGGAGAGGUUACCCACUCGAAUAUAUG